Molecule: ribosomal RNA, 253 nt
Filed under: uncultured bacterium
Lineage: Bacteria
Description: partial 16S ribosomal RNA
Rfam family: Bacterial small subunit ribosomal RNA
Source: RNAcentral
UACGUAGGGAGCAAGCGUUGUUCGGAUUUACUGGGCGUAAAGGGCGCGUAGGCGGCGCGGUAAGUCACUUGUGAAAUCUCUGAGCUUAACUCAGAACGGCCAAGUGAUACUGCAGUGCUAGAGUGCAGAAGGGGCAAUCGGAAUUCUUGGUGUAGCGGUGAAAUGCGUAGAUAUCGAGAGGAACACCUGCGGCGAAGGCGGGUUGCUGGGCUGAUACUGACGCUGAGGCGCGAAAGCCAGGGGAGCGAACGGG